GCUUCUUCUUGUAUAACCAUCCACAAUGGUUCAUGCCUCUUCAAUCUCUUUGCACGACAUGGGUGUCUCUUUGCCACUGGAAAUUUCAGCUUCUGUGCAGUCGUUUUUGAGCCAGAUGAAAAUGCACUUUUGUGAGGUUUUGGACUGCCCAAAGCAUCCAAUAAUGCACGGUCAUGGUCUGAGAUCAAAGCCUUAUUUGAAAUGUCACCUAAGUGUUUAAAACUCCACGGUCAUGGUCUGAGAUCAAAGCCUUACUGGUUCAUGCCUCUUCAAUCUCUUUGCACUACAUGGAUGUCUCUUUGCCACUGACAAUUUCAGCUUCUGUGCAGUCGUUUUUGAGCCAGAUGAAAAUGCACUUUUGUGAGGUUUUGGACUGCCCAAAGCAUCCAAUAAUGCACGGUCAUGGUCUGAGAUCAAAGCCUUACUUGAAAUGUCACCUGAGUGUUUAAAACUCUCCAACUCUACUGCUGUGAUUUUCUGAAGUUGUUGCUGCUCAGAUUAA
RNAcentral lists this long non-coding RNA (502 nucleotides) under Nicotiana benthamiana. Its description in RNAcentral is "long non-coding RNA (NBEN_LNC042274)". Lineage: Eukaryota; Viridiplantae; Streptophyta; Magnoliopsida; Solanales; Solanaceae. The record is from RNAcentral.